UACGAAGGUGGCAAGCGUUGUUCGGAUUUAUUGGGCGUAAAGCGUUCGCAGGCGGUUUAUAAAGUCAGAUGUGAAAUCCUAUAGCUCAACUAUAGAACUGCAUUUGAAACUUAUAGACUAGAGUAUGAGAGGGGUGAAGGGAAUUUCUAGUGUAGGGGUGAAAUCCGUAGAUAUUAGAAGGAACACCGGUCGCGAAGGCGCUUCACUGGCUCAUUACUGACGCUCAGGAACGAAAGCUAGGGUAGCCAACGGG
This 253-nucleotide ribosomal RNA is filed under the name uncultured bacterium. Its description in RNAcentral is "partial 16S ribosomal RNA". It matches the Rfam family "Bacterial small subunit ribosomal RNA", at positions 524 to 776 of the family's 1533-position model. The record is from RNAcentral.